GUUGAACGCUGGCGGCGUGCCUAAUACAUGCAAGUCGAGCGAACAGACGAGGAGCUUGCUCCUCUGACGUUAGCGGCGGACGGGUGAGUAACACGUGGAUAACCUACCUAUAAGACUGGGAUAACUUCGGGAAACCGGAGCUAAUACCGGAUAAUAUAUUGAACCGCAUGGUUCAAUGGUGAAAGACGGUUUUGCUGUCACUUAUAGAUGGAUCCGCGCCGCAUUAGCUAGUUGGUAAGGUAACGGCUUACCAAGGCAACGAUGCGUAGCCGACCUGAGAGGGUGAUCGGCCACACUGGAACUGAGACACGGUCCAGACUCCUACGGGAGGCAGCAGUAGGGAAUCUUCCGCAAUGGGCGAAAGCCUGACGGAGCAACGCCGCGUGAGUGAUGAAGGUCUUCGGAUCGUAAAACUCUGUUAUUAGGGAAGAACAAAUGUGUAAGUAACUAUGCACGUCUUGACGGUACCUAAUCAGAAAGCCACGGCUAACUACGUG
RNAcentral lists this ribosomal RNA (497 nucleotides) under uncultured bacterium. Its description in RNAcentral is "partial 16S ribosomal RNA". It matches the Rfam family "Bacterial small subunit ribosomal RNA", at positions 28 to 507 of the family's 1533-position model. The record is from RNAcentral.